GGAGCCUGGCUCCAGAGUCCAGAAGGAGGGGGGCCCCCACGGGGAUGUGUUCGGUCCAAGUCAAAGCCAAGCCAGGGGACCCACCUCCAGAGGACUCAGACCCCACCCUGCUUUGGCCUUUUCUCUCUCGAAGUCUCCAGCACGGCCCUGGCCUCAAGGAGCACACCGCUUUACGGUAGCAUGAACGAGCAAGCAGGAGAUGUUGCAAACUGUCAGGAACUGUCAGCGGACGCCUGCCCCAAUCAGCCUCAUGCCUGGCACACAGGGGGUGCUGGACCUCGAAGGAAGGUUCAAGGAAGGUGGGAAGACAGGAGGGAGGCCAAGAGGGCCGCGUGAACCAUGCUGCUGGGGUGGCAUUCUCCACCACGACCCCCGCCAUAAGGUAUUUUCAAACACACCCACGCUCUUCUUUGGCCAGUGCACGGGGCUUAGCAGGGCCACCCUCCUGGGA
Molecule: long non-coding RNA, 451 nt
Filed under: Felis catus (domestic cat)
Lineage: Eukaryota; Metazoa; Chordata; Mammalia; Carnivora; Felidae
Description: lncRNA (ENSFCAG00000053251.1)
Source: RNAcentral